RNAcentral lists this ribosomal RNA (507 nucleotides) under uncultured bacterium. RNAcentral describes it as "bacterial SSU rRNA". It matches the Rfam family "Bacterial small subunit ribosomal RNA", at positions 38 to 518 of the family's 1533-position model. The record is from RNAcentral.
GGCGGCGUGCCUAAUACAUGCAAGUCGAACGGUCUUUCUAUGGAAGCUUGCUUCCACUGAGAAGAUAGUGGCGAACGGGUGAGUAACACGUGGGUAACCUGCCCAUAAGAGGGGGAUAACAUCCGGAAACGGGUGCUAAUACCGCAUAGUUUUCUUGAUCGCAUGAUCGGGAAAGGAAAGACGGCCUUUGUGCUGUCGCUUAUGGAUGGACCCGCGGCGUAUUAGUUAGUUGGUGAGGUAACGGCUCACCAAGACGAUGAUACGUAGCCGACCUGAGAGGGUGAUCGGCCACAUUGGGACUGAGACACGGCCCAAACUCCUACGGGAGGCAGCAGUAGGGAAUCUUCCGCAAUGGACGAAAGUCUGACGGAGCAACGCCGCGUGAGUGAAGAAAGGUUUUCGGAUCGUAAAACUCUGUUGUCAGAGAAGAACAAGUUGGAGAGUAACUGCUCCAGCCUUGACGGUAUCUGACCAGAAAGCCACGGCUAACUACGUGCCAGCCGCUGC